GCAGCCACAGUUCCCAACCAAGACGCCCUCUCCAUAGGCUCUCUCAGAACACAGCAGCUUGCUUCUUCAAUGUCAGCAAGAGAGGGAGGAGUCUGUGUACAAAUCUGCAAGCACGACUGUGUCUCUUAUGAGAUGGUGCUGAACAUCACUGCCCUGACUGAACCUGGGUUUCGAGAUGGAGGCAAUUCCUGAGGAAUGCUGUACCUGGACAGCCUGUGGUUUAACUACAGGGUGGAUUGCAAGGGCUUGUGUGACAAAUGUGUGAGUAUCAAAGAAGGUCAGGUAAGAAAGGGAGGGAGCUUUGU
RNAcentral lists this long non-coding RNA (305 nucleotides) under Mustela putorius furo (domestic ferret). RNAcentral describes it as "lncRNA (ENSMPUG00000029278.1)". Lineage: Eukaryota; Metazoa; Chordata; Mammalia; Carnivora; Mustelidae. The record is from RNAcentral.